AACGAACGCUGGCGGCAGGCUUAACACAUGCAAGUCGAACGGAAACACCGUGCUUUCGUGCGGUUCUGGGGUGCCGAACGGGUAAGUAACACGUGUGUAACCUGCCCUUCACUUUGGGAUAACUUAACGAAACUGAGGCUAAUACAGGACCGGAUCUCCCGCUGCAUGGUGGGCGUUGGAUAGUUUCGGCGGUUGGGGAUGGACUCGCGGCUUAUCAGCUUGUUGGUGGGGUAGUGGCAUACCAAGGCUUUGACGGGUAGCCGGCCUGUGAGGGUGACCGGCCACAUUGGGACUGAGAUACGGCCCAGACUCCUCCGGGAGGCAGCAGUGGGGAAUAUUGCACAAUGGGCGGAAGCCUGAUGCAGCAACGCCGCGUGCGGGAUGACGGCCUUCGGGUUGUAAACCGCUUUCGCCUGUGACGAAGCGUGAGUGACGGUAAUGGGUAAAGAAGCACCGGCUAACUACGUG
This 468-nucleotide ribosomal RNA is filed under the name uncultured bacterium. Its description in RNAcentral is "partial 16S ribosomal RNA". It matches the Rfam family "Bacterial small subunit ribosomal RNA", at positions 29 to 507 of the family's 1533-position model. The record is from RNAcentral.